Molecule: long non-coding RNA, 428 nt
Organism: Nomascus leucogenys (northern white-cheeked gibbon)
Lineage: Eukaryota; Metazoa; Chordata; Mammalia; Primates; Hylobatidae
Exons: 4
Source: RefSeq, a predicted model, not a curated record
UGCAGCAGAAACACUGCUACAGAACAAGUGUCUUGGUUCACAGCAAAGAGGACAAAGAAAACAGCAAGUUUUAGGGGGUUGAAUCCUGGAUUGUGGUGACCAGAUGGAUAUAAACGGGCUGUGGAAAAAGAGAAUGCAUGGCCAAAACUGGUGGUGCUCUCUGUCCAAAAACUAAGGCCCUAUGACCAUGAAUGAAGCCAGAGGGCAGGUAGGAACAGGGGUUUUUCCCAAGGAAAUAGAAAUCACAAAUCUUCUCUAGAAUACAGAAAUAUUCUAGAGAUCACUGACGCAUUUGAGGGAAAUCAAAAACAAAACAAAACAGAACAAACAGAAGCCUUAAACAGUAAAAUAACAGCAAGAUGAAACUGAUUUAAGACAAUCAAAUAACAUCGUUUCCUGUUCAUUCUCUAAACACAAGCUUUCUCUCG